CCUACGGGUGGCAGCAGUGAGGAAUAUUGGUCAAUGGACGAGAGUCUGAACCAGCCAAGUAGCGUGAAGGAUGACUGCCCUAUGGGUUGUAAACUUCUUUUAUAUGGGAAUAAAAUGUUCCACGUGUGGGCUUUUGUAUGUACCCUAUGAAUAAGGAUCGGCUAACUCCGUGCCAGCAGCCGCGGUAAUACGGAGGAUCCGAGCGUUAUCCGGAUUUAUUGGGUUUAAAGGGAGCGUAGGUGGGUUGUUAAGUCAGUUGUGAAAGUUUGCGGCUCAACCGUAGAAUUGCAGUUGAAACUGGAAGUCUGGAGUACAGUAGGGGUGGGCGGAAUUCGUGGUGUAGCGGUGAAAUGCUUAGAUAUCACGAAGAACUCCGAUUGCGAAGGCAGGUGACUGGACUGCAACUGACACUGAGGCUCGAAAGUGUGGGUAUCAAACAGGAUUAGAUACCCGGGUAGUC
This 460-nucleotide ribosomal RNA is filed under the name uncultured bacterium. Its description in RNAcentral is "partial 16S ribosomal RNA". It matches the Rfam family "Bacterial small subunit ribosomal RNA", at positions 338 to 795 of the family's 1533-position model. The record is from RNAcentral.